ACACAAAAAUGCACAUAUUGUGAGCUUGAUGAGUAGGGCGGGACACGUGGUAUCCUGUCUGAAUAUGGGGGGACCAUCCUCCAAGGCUAAAUACUCCUGACUGACCGAUAGUGAACCAGUACCGUGAGGGAAAGGCGAAAAGAACCCCGGCGAGGGGAGUGAAAAAGAACCUGAAACCGUGUACGUACAAGCAGUGGGAGCACGCUUAGGCGUGUGACUGCGUACCUUUUGUAUAAUGGGUCAGCGACUUAUAUUCUGUAGCAAGGUUAACCGAAUAGGGGAGCCGAAGGGAAACCGAGUCUUAACUGGGCGUUAAGUUGCAGGGUAUAGACCCGAAACCCGGUGAUCUAGCCAUGGGCAGGUUGAAGGUUGGGUAACACUAACUGGAGGACCGAACCGACUAAUGUUGAAAAAUUAGCGGAUGACUUGUGGCUGGGGGUGAAAGGCCAAUCAAACCGGGAGAUAGCUGGUUCUCCCCGAAAGCUAUUUAGGUAGCGCCUCGUGAAUUCAUCUCCGGGGGUAGAGCACUGUUUCGGCAAGGGGGUCAUC
RNAcentral lists this ribosomal RNA (549 nucleotides) under Shigella sonnei. Its description in RNAcentral is "partial 23S ribosomal RNA". It matches the Rfam family "Bacterial large subunit ribosomal RNA", at positions 377 to 931 of the family's 2925-position model. The record is from RNAcentral. Lineage: Bacteria; Pseudomonadati; Pseudomonadota; Gammaproteobacteria; Enterobacterales; Enterobacteriaceae.